Molecule: transfer RNA, 75 nt
Filed under: Pseudoteredinibacter isoporae
Lineage: Bacteria; Pseudomonadati; Pseudomonadota; Gammaproteobacteria; Cellvibrionales; Cellvibrionaceae
Also listed under: 12 other names
Description: tRNA-Asn
Rfam family: tRNA
About the family: Transfer RNA (tRNA) molecules are approximately 80 nucleotides in length. Their secondary structure includes four short double-helical elements and three loops (D, anti-codon, and T loops). Further hydrogen bonds mediate the characteristic L-shaped molecular structure. tRNAs have two regions of fundamental functional importance: the anti-codon, which is responsible for specific mRNA codon recognition, and the 3' end, to which the tRNAs corresponding amino acid is attached (by aminoacyl-tRNA synthetases). tRNAs cope with the degeneracy of the genetic code in two manners: having more than one tRNA (with a specific anti-codon) for a particular amino acid; and 'wobble' base-pairing, i.e. permitting non-standard base-pairing at the 3rd anti-codon position.
Source: RNAcentral
UCCGGCAUAGCUCAGCGGUAGAGCAGUAGACUGUUAAUCUAUUGGUCCCUGGUUCGAUCCCAGGUGCCGGAGCCA